Molecule: ribosomal RNA, 295 nt
Filed under: uncultured bacterium
Lineage: Bacteria
Description: partial 16S ribosomal RNA
Rfam family: Bacterial small subunit ribosomal RNA
Source: RNAcentral
UCCUACGGGGGGCAGCAGUGGGGGAUAUUGCACAAUGGGGGGGGACCCUGAUGCGGCGACGCCGCGUGGGUGAAGGAGUGCUUCGGCAUGUAAAGCCCUAUCGGCAGGGAAGAAGCAAGACGGUACCUGACUAAGAAGCCCCGGCUAACUACGUGCCAGCAGCCGCGGUAAUACGUAGGGGGCGAGCGUUAUCCGGAUUCACUGGGUGUAAAGGGAGGGUAGACGGCCAUGCAAGCCAGGGGGGAAAGCCCGGGGCCCAACCCCGGGACCGCCCUUGGAACUGUGCGGCUCGAGU